CAGUCAUAUGCUUGUCUCAAAGAUUAAGCCAUGCAUGUCUAAGUAUAAACAAUCUAUACUUGUGAAACUGCGAAUGGCUCAUUAAAUCAGUUAUAGUUUAUUUGAUAGUAUCUUACUACUUGGAUAACCGUGGUAAUUCUAGAGCUAAUACAUGCACACUAACCCGACUUCUGAAGGGUUGUAUUUAUUAGAUACAAAACCAAACUAGGGAGCAAUCCUUAGUGCUUGAUGAUUCAUAAUAACUUUACGAAUCGCAUGGCUUAACGCCGGCGAUGAA
RNAcentral lists this ribosomal RNA (277 nucleotides) under uncultured eukaryote. RNAcentral's name for it is "partial 18S ribosomal RNA". It matches the Rfam family "Eukaryotic small subunit ribosomal RNA", at positions 22 to 294 of the family's 1831-position model. The record is from RNAcentral.